CGGCAGCACGGAGCUUGCUCUGGUGGCGAGUGGCNAACGGGUGAGUAAUAUAUCGGAACGUACCCUGGAGUGGGGGAUAACGUAGCGAAAGUUACGCNNAAUACCGCAUACGAUCUACGGAUGAAAGUGGGGGAUCGCAAGACCUCAUGCUCGUGGAGCGGCCGAUAUCUGAUUAGCUAGUUGGUAGGGUAAAAGCCUACCAAGGCAUCGAUCAGUAGCUGGUCUGAGAGGACGACCAGCCACACUGGAACUGAGACACGGUCCAGACUCCUACGGGAGGCAGCAGUGGGGAAUUUUGGACAAUGGGCGAAAGCCUGAUCCAGCAAUGCCGCGUGAGUGAAGAAGACCUUCGGGUUGUAAAGCUCUUUUGUCAGGGAAGAAACGGUGAGGGCUAAUAUCCCUUGCUAAUGACGGUACCUGAAGAAUAAGCACCGGCUAACUACGUGCCAGCAGCCGCGGUAAUACGUAGGGUGCAAGCGUUAAUCG
This 486-nucleotide ribosomal RNA is filed under the name uncultured Janthinobacterium sp. Its description in RNAcentral is "bacterial SSU rRNA". It matches the Rfam family "Bacterial small subunit ribosomal RNA", at positions 67 to 547 of the family's 1533-position model. Lineage: Bacteria; Pseudomonadati; Pseudomonadota; Betaproteobacteria; Burkholderiales; Oxalobacteraceae. The record is from RNAcentral.